CUUAAAUGGACUUGGGAAGAUGUGCAGACCACAGAACAAAACAGUAAACUCACAACAAAAUUGUCAAUAUGCGUUCUGAGAUUAAUCACGAGCAUGAAGCUAAUGCCAAAGACGAAUGGCCGUCGAUUGAGAAGCCAACAGCACCAGCAGAGUCAGAGGGAUGCAAUGGUCCAGCCGAUCUCCAAUCUGAUUAGAGUGGAUCAGCAUCUGAGCGACCGGUUAGAAUAUAUAUAUAUAUAUAUAUAUAUAUAUAUACAUUUAGCAGAGAGAAUCUUGGAGUUGAUCAUGUGCAACAUUACAUGACUCGGUUGCUGGUAGAAAUGUCCAAGAAGAUGAAUGGAGUUUCAUAUACAUAUCAGAAGCAGAACCAUCCUGUAGAGCACCACAAAGAUGAAGAUGAGGUUUCGAGUUUCAACAACUAACCGUAGAUAGUCAUGAUCAAGAAGCGUCGCAUGAAGAGGAUUAGACCUGCUGUUAUCAUUUGCUUAUCCAUACAGAAGAAUGUUCGCCAAUUAAGUUUUGGAUCAAGGCAGCCUUUAAGCAAAAAGGCAGAAGAGAAUCCUGAUGUAGCUCAACAGAUGGAACAUUCAGAUGCUUGAAAUACUGAGUUCUAUGGAGAUUAACAACGUCUUGGAAGUACAGCUAAUGGAUAUAUGGACCACGCAGCUGCUGCUGGAAAUUAUGAUGAUGAUUCUUUGGAAUCUAGGCGAGAGGUUCUGAAGCAAGAAAACCCCGAGACCGUUCAGGAGCACCAGUACACAUUUUCUCGAUACUGCAUAUGAUUCUUCACAGACAAAUGCACAGAAUCUUGCUUCAUUAUCGAAUGUGAUGGUAAGCUACAUGUGCAUUUAUUUUAUGAUAUCUGUUAAGGGAACCUUGUUUUGCUUUCUAAAUACUACAUUCAUGAAGAUGUGCUUAGUUCUCAGUACAAAGAGAGUAAUCAUCUGUUGGCACUUCAGCAGCAGCAGCAGCAGAACCAAAACUCGGCAAUGUGGCAUCACGGUGAUGGCUCUCGAACCAUGUCUGGUGUUCCGGCUAACACAUACUACAACCUCCAAGCACAGCAACAACAACAUUUACAACAGACUCAGCAAGCAACAACAUCAUUAUGGUAAUUACUAUCAGUCUCAAACAGAAAUGUUCGUUGAUCGUCAGCAGCAAAACAUGAAGAAAGUGAGUGUUUUUUUUUAUCAGCUUCUUUCGGUUAUAGAGAGGUUUGUGUGGCGAGGGAGGUUGAAGAGGAAAUGAAUAUGUACCGAAUGUAUUUAUUACAAUCAUCUUUUUUGUCUCCUCUGUUAACUUAGGAAACACGCAAUUCCAGUUUCAUCAAUGCAAUGCAACAAAAAGAAAAGGAAACAAUUUCUUAAUCUGCCUUUUCUUUUCU
Molecule: long non-coding RNA, 1384 nt
Organism: Raphanus sativus (radish)
Lineage: Eukaryota; Viridiplantae; Streptophyta; Magnoliopsida; Brassicales; Brassicaceae
Exons: 4
Source: RefSeq, a predicted model, not a curated record